This 523-nucleotide ribosomal RNA is filed under the name Salmonella enterica subsp. enterica serovar Typhi. RNAcentral describes it as "bacterial SSU rRNA". It matches the Rfam family "Bacterial small subunit ribosomal RNA", at positions 902 to 1425 of the family's 1533-position model. Lineage: Bacteria; Pseudomonadati; Pseudomonadota; Gammaproteobacteria; Enterobacterales; Enterobacteriaceae. The record is from RNAcentral.
CAAAUGAAUUGACGGGGGCCCGCACAAGCGGUGGAGCAUGUGGUUUAAUUCGAUGCAACGCGAAGAACCUUACCUGGUCUUGACAUCCACAGAACUUUCCAGAGAUGGAUUGGUGCCUUCGGGAACUGUGAGACAGGUGCUGCAUGGCUGUCGUCAGCUCGUGUUGUGAAAUGUUGGGUUAAGUCCCGCAACGAGCGCAACCCUUAUCCUUUGUUGCCAGCGGUCCGGCCGGGAACUCAAAGGAGACUGCCAGUGAUAAACUGGAGGAAGGUGGGGAUGACGUCAAGUCAUCAUGGCCCUUACGACCAGGGCUACACACGUGCUACAAUGGCGCAUACAAAGAGAAGCGACCUCGCGAGAGUAAGCGGACCUCAUAAAGUGCGUCGUAGUCCGGAUUGGAGUCUGCAACUCGACUCCAUGAAGUCGGAAUCGCUAGUAAUCGUGGAUCAGAAUGCCACGGUGAAUACGUUCCCGGGCCUUGUACACACCGCCCGUCACACCAUGGGAGUGGGUUGCAAAAGAA